RNAcentral lists this ribosomal RNA (492 nucleotides) under uncultured bacterium. RNAcentral describes it as "partial 16S ribosomal RNA". It matches the Rfam family "Bacterial small subunit ribosomal RNA", at positions 29 to 507 of the family's 1533-position model. The record is from RNAcentral.
AGUGAACGCUGGCGGUAGGCCUAACACAUGCAAGUCGAACGGCAGCACAGUAAGAGCUUGCUCUUACGGGUGGCGAGUGGCGGACGGGUGAGGCAUACAUCGGAAUCUACUUUUUCGUGGGGGAUAACGUAGGGAAACUUACGCUAAUACCGCAUACGACCUACGGGUGAAAUCAGGGGAUCUUCGGACCUUGCGCGAUUGAAUGAGUCGAUGUCGGAUUAGCUAGUUGGCGGGGUAAAGGACCACCAAGGCGACGAUCCGUAGCUGGUCUGAGAGGAUGAUCAGCCACACUGGAACUGAGACACGGUCCAGACUCCUACGGGAGGCAGCAGUGGGGAAUCUUGGACAAUGGGCGAAAGCCUGAUCCAGCCAUACCGCGUGGGUGAAGAAGGCCUUCGGGUUGUAAAGCCCUUUUGUUGGGAAAGAAAAGCAGCAGGUUAAUACCCCGCUGUUCUGACGGUACCCAAAGAAUAAGCACCGGCUAACUUCGUG